CUUAGGACGAACGCUGGCGGCGUGCCUAAUACAUGCAAGUCGAACGGUCUUUCUAUGGAAGCUUGCUCCACUGAGAAGAUAGUGGCGAACGGGUGAGUAACACGUGGGUAACCUGCCCAUAAGAGGGGGAUAACAUCCGGAAACGGGUGCUAAUACCGCAUAGUUUUCUUGAUUGCAUGAUUGAGAAAGGAAAGACGGCCUUUGUGCUGUCGCUUAUGGAUGGACCCGCGGCGUAUUAGUUAGUUGGUGAGGUAACGGCUCACCAAGACGAUGAUACGUAGCCGACCUGAGAGGGUGAUCGGCCACAUUGGGACUGAGACACGGCCCAAACUCCUACGGGAGGCAGCAGUAGGGAAUCUUCCGCAAUGGACGAAAGUCUGACGGAGCAACGCCGCGUGAGUGAAAGAAGGUUUUCGGAUCGUAAAACUCUGUUGUCAGAGAAGAACAAGUUGGAGAGUAACUGCUCCAGCCUUGACGGUAUCUGACCAGAAAGCCACGGCUAACUACGUGCCAGCCGCGGC
RNAcentral lists this ribosomal RNA (521 nucleotides) under uncultured bacterium. RNAcentral's name for it is "bacterial SSU rRNA". It matches the Rfam family "Bacterial small subunit ribosomal RNA", at positions 23 to 518 of the family's 1533-position model. The record is from RNAcentral.